Long non-coding RNA from Carassius carassius (crucian carp), 776 nucleotides. RefSeq lists it as uncharacterized. The record is from RefSeq and is a predicted model, not a curated record. NCBI's taxonomy places the organism in Eukaryota, Metazoa, Chordata, Actinopteri, Cypriniformes, Cyprinidae. The transcript is spliced from 2 exons.
CUGACUCGACCACACAAAAGCUCUUCCUCUGCCAGUCACUCAGUCAGUUAGACUCUGAGAGAGUUUGUGCAGCAUCAGCCUCUGAAAGAACAACACCACGACUGAAAUCAGCCAUGCAUCCUAUAUUGAUCGGCAUAGUGACAGCCAACACAAGUUUAACUAUUGUCUACUGGAACUUUCUUCUGUCUCAGGUUUUUGGCAAGAAGAUCAGAGAUGGAGAACCACCUGAGGAAAUUCCCGUCUGAGUUGAGGCUCUGGUCAUGACCCUGGUGAUGAAGAGAAAGAAGAAAAAACCACCAAAGACCAUUUUAGGAAAGGAAGUAGGGAUGAGGGAGAGAAAAUAAGAACAAAGAAGGAACAGACUGCCAUUUGACCCAGACGUGGACGGAUAGAAAUUCUUCUAGGAUUCAAAUCUUCUGUAUUUAAAAAGUCAUGAGGUUAAAAAGGUGUCAGUGAAUAGAUUUAUGAACAACCCUCUCUCUUUCAUCCAUUAGUCCACCUCCACAAGCCCCAAAUCUCCCAUUCAAUCAGUAACCCCCCCCCCCCCCCCCCCCACACACACACCCAAAAGAUCUUUCUUUGUCAGUGCUGCUCAUUUGCACCUGUUCUAAGUUACCAAAAAUCAUAGCUUAUGUAUCUGAAGUCUGUAGGCAGAUGUUUUUUUUUUCACUAUAUUUAGCAAAAUAGCUAACGUUACACAGGUUGUGUGAAAUUCUAUCUGUCUUACUCUCCUACAUGUGUCUCUUUCCCUCAAUAAUAAAUUAAUAUGUAGAGCA